GGAUGGCAACUGAAUCGAUUAAGCAUCCCCCGGAGAACUAAUCGCGAAAGAAUCGGGCUUCGAAGACUGCAAGUUAUCGCGAACAAGAUUUUCUGGUUUCGAAAUUCGCGAAAGGAUAAUCGCAAGUGAAAUCAGUUUGUUGUUGUUAUUAUUAUCCAGUUAUUAUGUUGCAGAGACCCCGUAGAAGGUGUGAGGGCACCGCCAUGGGUGUCAUCGUUCUUGAUCUUCGUCCCGGCCUUGGAAUUGGUCCCUUUUCUCUAGGAAUGCCUAUAUGUGAAGCGUUUGCACAGAUAGAGCACCAACCUAACAUCUACGAUGUUGUUCAUGUGAAGUACUUUGAUGAGGAUCCACUAAAGUUGGAUAUUGUUAUAAGCUUUCCAGACCAUGGCUUUCAUCUUCGUUUUGAUCCAUGGUCUCAGAGGCUUCGACUUAUUGAAAUUUUUGAUGUCAAACGGCUUCAAAUGCGCUAUGCAACAUCACUGAUAGGAGGUCCGUCAACUCCAGCUACUUUCGUAGCUGUAUAUGCCGUUUUUGGGCCAACAUUUCCUGGAAUUUAUGACAAAGAUAGAGGUGUUUAUACUCUCUUCUAUCCGGGGCUAUCAUUUGCUUUUCCCAUUCCCUCUCAGUAUACCGACUGCUGCCAUAAUGGGGAAGCGGAAUUGCCCUUGGAGUUUCCGGAUGGCACUACUCCUGUAACAUGUCGUGUAUGCAUAUACGACAGUUCGACAGAUAGUAAAGUUGGUGUAGGAUCAUUGAUGAACAAGGCUUCUGCUCCUCCGCUUCCUGCUGGUAGCCUCUACAUGGAAGAAGUCCAUGUUAAGCUAGGGGAGGAAUUAUGGUUUACUGUAGGUGGCCAGCAUAUCCCUUUUGGUGCUUCGCCACAGGAUGUGUGGACAGAAUUAGGCCGACCAGAUGGAAUUCAUCAAAAACAGGUCGACCAAAUGGUAAUUCACUCUGCUUCAGACCCACGACCAAAAACAACCCUAUGUGGUGAUUACUUCUACAACUAUUUUGGUCGAGGAUUUGACAUAUUGUUUGACGGCCAGACCCACAAGAUCAAAAAGUUUGUUCUACAUACAAAUUAUCCGGGGCAUGCCGACUUCAAUUCAUACAUGAAGUGCAAUUUCAUUAUCCAUGCUACAGAAUUUGAUGGUGCAUUUCAUCAAGAUAUGAAUUCCUCAAAAAGUAGGAUUACGCCCGGGUCAAAGUGGGACCAAGUGAAGGAGAUCCUCGGAGAUUGUGGCCGAGCUGCUAUUCAAACACAAGGCUCUACAAGCAAUCCAUUUGGCUCCACUUUUGUCUAUGGGUACCAGAAUGUUGCUUUUGAGGUCAUGAAGAAUGGCUAUAUUGCUACCGUGACUCUUUUCCAAUCAUACUAAGUUCCAUACGGACUUAUGGUAUGUGACUUCCGUACAUCCUUUUUUAAGAACGAAGAAUGCGAUGGAUGUACAGUCGUAGGCAGCAACAGCAAAUACCAACAAAAAACGAGCAUCAUGCGUUGAAACUUGUACAGUAUUUGUUUUAUGGCAAUUUCCGUCCCUCCGAAAAAGAAAUGGGAAGAAGUGAUGAUUGUAUAGGGUGUUUCAUACACCAGCUUUGUUGUACUUGAUGAUAGAUGUUAACGAAAACAAAGUUGCUUCGACUUAUAUCAGUGUUAACCUUGUAGGACAUGCAUAUUG
RNA transcript from Cynara cardunculus var. scolymus (artichoke), 1679 nucleotides. It is a transcript of the gene named UPF0183 protein At3g51130, with no coding region annotated. Lineage: Eukaryota; Viridiplantae; Streptophyta; Magnoliopsida; Asterales; Asteraceae. The record is from RefSeq and is a predicted model, not a curated record. The transcript is spliced from 15 exons.